GCUCGCUUGGAAAUUUUCCGCUAGUUGGUGAUGGAAUCAAUAAUUCUGUACAGGCUAGAUAUUCAUUGAACAUUUUAUGUGGCUUAAAACUUUAAUUUUUAGACUAGUUUCAAUCACAAACAACGUGGGGUGAUGAAAUUCAAAAAAUAUAUAUUUACUAUGUUUUUCUUCUCAUUUUUGUAGUAAGUCGCUUUUAGUGGGAAAAUUUUGGGUCUGCCACUCACGGGCAUUUUUGACUUUCGACUAGAAGUCAAUAUUUCUCAUUUUCAUACAUUUUUAUUUUUAAAUUACUUGUGCCUGUAUCCUACUUAAGGUGCAAUAUAUUCUGUGCUGUCUUUCAACCACAGAUAUCAUCUGUUAGCUUCUUUAACUGUGCUUAAAGCAUUUGUUAUGAUUUAGAACAUGAUAAUCCAAGAGUUGCUAUCUAUUAUUGUUGCCUAGGGAGUAGGAUAAAAUUCUGGUUCUAACUUUUAUGUUCAUUUUAUAUUUUGGAAACGAU
This 499-nucleotide unclassified non-coding RNA is filed under the name Hevea brasiliensis (rubber tree). The record is from RNAcentral. Lineage: Eukaryota; Viridiplantae; Streptophyta; Magnoliopsida; Malpighiales; Euphorbiaceae.